GAGUUUGAUCCUGGCUCAGGAUGAACGCUGGCGGCGUGCCUAACACAUGCAAGUCGAGCGAAGCAUACAGGAGGAAGUUUUCGGAUGGAAUCCUGCAUGGCUGAGCGGCGGACGGGUGAGUAACGCGUGGGUAACCUGCCUUAUACAGGGGAUAACAGUUAGAAAUGACUGCUAAUACCGCAUAAGCGCACAGUACCGCAUGGUAGUGUGUGAAAAAACUCCGGUGGUAUAAGAUGGACCCGCGUCUGACUAGCCAGUUGGCGAGGUAACGGCUCACCAAGGCGACGAUCAGUAGCUGGUCUGAGAGGAUGAUCCACCACACUGGGACUGAGACACGGCCCAGACCCUCGG
This 351-nucleotide ribosomal RNA is filed under the name uncultured microorganism. RNAcentral's name for it is "bacterial SSU rRNA". It matches the Rfam family "Bacterial small subunit ribosomal RNA", at positions 9 to 344 of the family's 1533-position model. The record is from RNAcentral.